GACCUCAAGUCAUGUGAGAGUACCCGCUGAACUUAAGCAUAUCAAUAAGCGGAGGAAAAGAAACUAACAAGGAUUCCCCUAGUAACGGCGAGUGAAGCGGGAAGAGCACAAAUUUAAAAUCUACCUGGUUUUCAGGUCGAGUUGUAAUUUGAAGAAACGUUUUUGACGUUCCGAGUUGGGAUAAAUCCUUUGGGAUAAGGUAUCAUGGAGGGUGAGAAUCCCGUGUAUACCAACCGCAGGGAUGUUAUUUAAUACGUUUUCUAAGAGUCGAGUUGUUUGGGAAUGCAGCUCUAAAUGGGUGAUAAAUUUCACCUAAUGCUAAAUAUAAGCGAGAGACCGAUAGCGAACAAGUACCGUGAGGGAAAGAUGAAAAGAACUUUGAAAAGAGAGUUAAAUAGUACGUGAAAUUGUUGAAAGGGAAACGAUUGAAGUCAGUCAUGCCGGCGGGAAUCAACUUAGGGGAAACUCUAAGUGCACUUCACGUUUGGCAGGUCAGCGUCGAUUUUAGAUAUCAUAAAUUGAUUGGGGGAAGGUAGCUCCUUCGGGAGUGUUAUAGCCCUUGAUAGAUGUGAUGUCUGGGAUCGAGGAUUGCAACGGAUACCCUCUGGGCUAGCCGCCUGAUCUCUAACUGGUGUUGGGUUACGGACAGCAUGCUGACCGUGAUUUAAUUACUGGUUAAAAGGUUAGAGUGAGUGUAAAUUCGUUAAGGACGUUGACGUAAUGGCUUUAAACGACCCGUCUUGAAACACGGACCAAGGAGUCUAACAUGUAUGCGAGUGUUAGGGUAUUAAACCCAGACGCGAAAUGAAAGUGAGUGUAGGUGGGAUCCUUUAUUGGAGCACCAUCGACCGAUCUUGAGAUUUUAUCGAUAGAAUUGAGUUAGAGC
This 886-nucleotide ribosomal RNA is filed under the name Dentiscutata heterogama. Its description in RNAcentral is "eukaryotic LSU rRNA". It matches the Rfam family "Eukaryotic large subunit ribosomal RNA", at positions 1 to 801 of the family's 3401-position model. The record is from RNAcentral. Lineage: Eukaryota; Fungi; Glomeromycota; Glomeromycetes; Diversisporales; Gigasporaceae.